GACGAACGCUGGCGGCGUGCUUAACACAUGCAAGUCGAACGGAAAGGCCCUGCUUGCAGGGUGCUCGAGUGGCGAACGGGUGAGUAACACGUGGGUGAUCUGCCCCUUACUUUGGGAUAAGCCUGGGCAACUGGGUCUAAUACUGGAUAGGACCAUGCUGUUGGUGGUGUGGUGGAAAGAUUAGUUUCGGUAAGGGAUGAGCUCGCGGCCUAUCAGCUUGUUGGUGGGGUAAUGGCCUACCAAGGCGUCGACGGGUAGCCGGCCUGAGAGGGUGGACGGCAACAUUGGGACUGAGAUGCGGCCCAGAAGCCUACAGGAGGCAGCAGUGGGGAAUAUUGCACAAUGGGCGCAAGCCUGAUGCAGCGACGCCGCGUGGGGGAUGACGGCCUUCGGGUUGUAAACUCCUUUCGGCCAUGACGAAGCCCUUGUGGUGACGGUAGUGGUAGAAGAAGCACCGGCUAACUACGUG
Molecule: ribosomal RNA, 469 nt
Filed under: uncultured bacterium
Lineage: Bacteria
Description: partial 16S ribosomal RNA
Rfam family: Bacterial small subunit ribosomal RNA
Source: RNAcentral